GCCUACUUUAUACAGCGGUUAGAGUAUUGCUUUCAUCCGGCGGGAAUCAUUGGUUCAAAUCCAAUUGUAGGUA
This 73-nucleotide transfer RNA is filed under the name Beta vulgaris subsp. vulgaris (sugar beet). It matches the Rfam family "tRNA". Rfam says of the family: Transfer RNA (tRNA) molecules are approximately 80 nucleotides in length. The record is from Rfam by way of RNAcentral. Lineage: Eukaryota; Viridiplantae; Streptophyta; Magnoliopsida; Caryophyllales; Amaranthaceae.